Molecule: ribosomal RNA, 498 nt
Filed under: uncultured bacterium
Lineage: Bacteria
Description: bacterial SSU rRNA
Rfam family: Bacterial small subunit ribosomal RNA
Source: RNAcentral
AUUGAACGCUGGCGGCAUGCUUUACACAUGCAAGUCGAACGGUAACAGGCCGCAAGGUGCUGACGAGUGGCGAACGGGUGAGUAAUGCAUCGGAACGUGCCCAGUCGUGGGGGAUAACGCAGCGAAAGCUGCGCUAAUACCGCAUACGAUCUAUGGAUGAAAGCGGGGGACCGUAAGGCCUCGCGCGAUUGGAGCGGCCGAUGUCAGAUUAGGUAGUUGGUGGGGUAAAGGCUCACCAAGCCGACGAUCUGUAGCUGGUCUGAGAGGACGACCAGCCACACUGGGACUGAGACACGGCCCAGACUCCUACGGGAGGCAGCAGUGGGGAAUUUUGGACAAUGGGCGCAAGCCUGAUCCAGCAAUGCCGCGUGCAGGAAGAAGGCCUUCGGGUUGUAAACUGCUUUUGUUACGGUAACGAAACGGACGUCUGGUUAAUACCUUGGGCGUAAUGACGGUACCGUAACGAAUAAGCACCGGCUAACUACGUGCCAGCAGCCG